GAUGAACGCUGGCGGCGUGCUUAAUACAUGCAAGUCGAGCGAACAGACGAGGAGCUUGCUCCUCUGACGUUAGCGGCGGACGGGUGAGUAACACGUGGAUACCCUCCCUAUAAGACUGGGAUAACUUCGGGAAACCGGACCUAAUACCGGAUAAUAUAUUGAACCGCAUGGUUCAAUAGUGAAAGACGGUUUUGCUGUCACUUAUAGAUGGAUCCGCGCCGCAUUAGCUAGUUGGUAAGGUAACGGCUUACCAAGGCAACGAUGCGUAGCCGACCUGAGAGGAGGAUCGGCCACACUGGAACUGAGACACGGUCCAGACUCCUACGGGAGGCAGCAGUCGGGAAUCUUCGGCAAUGGGCGAAAGCCUGACGGAGCAACGCCGCGUGAGUGAUGAAGGUCUUCGGAUCGUAAAACUCUGUUAUUAGGGAAGAACAGAUGUGGAAGUAACUAUGCACGUCUUGACGGUACCGAAUCAGAAAGCCACGGCUAACUACGUG
Molecule: ribosomal RNA, 497 nt
Filed under: uncultured bacterium
Lineage: Bacteria
Description: partial 16S ribosomal RNA
Rfam family: Bacterial small subunit ribosomal RNA
Source: RNAcentral